UUCAACGUGACCUUCGGUGAGUUCUUAGCA
Molecule: non-coding RNA, 30 nt
Filed under: Homo sapiens (human)
Lineage: Eukaryota; Metazoa; Chordata; Mammalia; Primates; Hominidae
Source: RNAcentral